This 22-nucleotide microRNA is filed under the name Monodelphis domestica (gray short-tailed opossum). RNAcentral's name for it is "Mdo-Mir-7371-P31_5p* (star (passenger))". Lineage: Eukaryota; Metazoa; Chordata; Mammalia; Didelphimorphia; Didelphidae. The record is from RNAcentral.
GGUGGAUAAGUCACUUUACUUU